GGUUAGGGGUGAAAUGCCAAUCGAACUCGGAGCUAGCUGGUUCUCCCCGAAAUGCGUUGAGGCGCAGCGGUUGACGAGGAACCUCGUUUGAGACCAUGAGCUGUCUAGGGGUAAAGCACUGUAUCGGUGCGGGCUGCGAGAGCGGUACCAAAUCGUAGCAAACUAAGAAUACUAGGCAUGUCUUUCCGUCAACCAGUGAGACGGUGGGGGAUAAGCUCCAUCGUCAAGAGGGAAACAGCCCAGAUCACCAGCUAAGGCCCCUGAAUGAUCGCUAAGUGGAAAAGGAGGUGAGAAUGCCGAAACAGCCAGAAGGUUUGCUUAGAAGCAGCCAUCCUUUAAAGAGUGCGUAAUAGCUCACUGGUGGAGCGUUCUUGCGCCGAAAAUUUACGGGACUAAGCGAUCUGCCGAAGCUGUGGGAUACCAGCAAAAAGAGCUGGUAUCGGUAGGGGAGCGUUCCGCCUUAGGGUGAAGCAUUGGUGUAAACUGGUGUGGACGAAGCGGAAGUGAGAAUGUCGGCUUGAGUAA
RNAcentral lists this ribosomal RNA (525 nucleotides) under Coccomyxa subellipsoidea. Its description in RNAcentral is "bacterial LSU rRNA". It matches the Rfam family "Bacterial large subunit ribosomal RNA", at positions 813 to 1309 of the family's 2925-position model. Lineage: Eukaryota; Viridiplantae; Chlorophyta; Trebouxiophyceae; Coccomyxaceae. The record is from RNAcentral.